ACGCUGGCGGCAGGCUUAACACAUGCAAGUCGAACGGUAACAGGAAUUAGCUUGCUAAUUUGCUGACGAGUGGCGGACGGGUGAGUAAUGCUCGGGAAUCUGGCUUAUGGAGGGGGAUAACUACGGGAAACUGUAGCUAAUACCGCGUAAAAUCUUCGGAUUAAAGGGUGGGACUUUCGAGCCACCUGCCAUAAGAUGAGCCCAAGUGGGAUUAGGUAGUUGGUUAGGUAAAGGCUGACCAAGCCGACGAUCUCUAGCUGGUCUGAGAGGAUGACCAGCCACACUGGAACUGAGACACGGUCCAGACUCCUACGGGAGGCAGCAGUGGGGAGUAUUGCACAAUGGGGGGAACCCUGAUGCAGCCAUGCCGCGUGAAUGAAGAAGGCCUUCGGGUUGUAAAGUUCUUUCGGUGACGAGGAAGGUUGAUAGGUUAAUAGCCUAUCAAAUUGACGUUAAUCACAGAAGAAGCACCGGCUAACUCCGUGCCAGCAGCCGCGGUAAUACGGGGGGUGCGAGCGUUAAUCGGAAUAACUGGGCGUAAAGGGCACGCAGGCGGUGACUUAAGUGAGAUGUGAAAGCCCCGAGCUUAACUUGGGAAUUGCAUUUCAUACUGGGUCGCUAGAGUACUUUAGGGAGGGGUAGAAUUCCACGUGUAGCGGUGAAAUGCGUAGAGAUGUGGAGGAAUACCGAAGGCGAAGGCAGCCCCUUGGGAAUGUACUGACGCUCAUGUGCGAAAGCGUGGGGAGCAAACAGGAUUAGAUACCCUGGUAGUCCACGCUGUAAACGAUGUCGAUUUGGGGAUUGGGCUUUGAGCUUGGUGCCCGUAGCUAACGCGAUAAAUCGACCGCCUGGGGAGUACGGCCGCAAGGUUAAAACUCAAAUGAAUUGACGGGGGCCCGCACAAGCGGUGGAGCAUGU
Molecule: ribosomal RNA, 918 nt
Filed under: uncultured bacterium
Lineage: Bacteria
Description: bacterial SSU rRNA
Rfam family: Bacterial small subunit ribosomal RNA
Source: RNAcentral